Molecule: long non-coding RNA, 202 nt
Filed under: Panax ginseng (ginseng)
Lineage: Eukaryota; Viridiplantae; Streptophyta; Magnoliopsida; Apiales; Araliaceae
Description: long non-coding RNA (PGIN_LNC010437)
Source: RNAcentral
CCAUAUAUCCCACAAAAACACCAAGAGAGUUGUUCAAGUAUCCGACUCCAGAACAACGAGUGGAGUAGCCCAUAGGCCCCAUACAGUUGCAUAUAGGAUUGCUAGGCUUUCAUUACUCAAUGGGGACAUUGAUACACUGAACUCCUCUUAUUAAGAUAUUGGAAAAUAUAAAUUAAUCUGUUUCCAACAAGCCUUCAAAUUG